RNAcentral lists this long non-coding RNA (1233 nucleotides) under Pandoravirus neocaledonia. RNAcentral describes it as "hypothetical ncRNA". The record is from RNAcentral.
AAAGGAAAACAAAGAAUCGAAAAGGACAAAAGUCCCUUGGCCAGCGCGCAGCACAAGGGCGGGCGGGAUCGACGGAGGAGGGGUCCGUGGGCGGCAAUGUCGGCUUUUCCUCGUCGCCGUCGCGCUACCAUUAUCGGCGGUCUCCUCUUAUGCGAGAUCACCCAACCAAGAGCACAUUUGGCUCUUUCUUUUCCGCCAACCGUUGUUUGCCCAUCGCCCAGACGCACAAACAACAAUGCCUAGGGUUUGUCGGCCUUUCGGUUGCGUGCGUGCAACCGAGCGCCAGAGAUGAUGCCGCGCUGGGGUUCGACGGCGACGUCGCUAAAGGUGAGGUUGGUGUAGUAGACCGAACGCUCGGCAUCGCGCGCGUGCGGCCCGCGCACGAUCUCGCACCACCACGAGGCGGCGUGCGCGCGGUUGACACUCUGCAGGAGCACCCGGUGGUCGCUGUCGUGGCAUUCGGGCGCCAUGUCGUGCGGGGACGUGUGCUCCCCCGUCGACAGUGGGGAUGACGGUGAAGAAAAAAAAGUGCGUAAUGUCGAUGAUGAUGAUGUUGAUGAUGACAAUGACGACCCAACGGCAGGCGAUACAAUGAUAAAGGGGUCCCACCAGAGACCGCGCGAUUCGCACGACAGCACCCGACUGUCGAGGUCGAUGACGCACCACGCCGCACUCGGUGACGCUGUCGGUGGUGCGCGCGUUGGUGCACUGGAGCGCUCGAUGGGCGCGCAUGUGGGCGCGCACGCGUCGUCGGCGUAAAGCGUACCGCGCUCGAUGGCUAUGGUGCGUGGCACGGCCACCAUAGGUUGCCACAGGGCCUCGAGUUCGUCGAGCAUAGUCGUGCCGGACGGCAUCGGCGCCACCCUCGCGCCGACGCCAAUGGCCUGUGCUGCGCGCUCCAUCGCCGCUGCGAUGGCCUUCAUCCCGACGCACACACGCAGUAGAGCAAAACCUUUCUUUUUUCCGAAACACAAGUGCGCGUUUUUUGACAGUCGAAAAAGAGGAAGGGAUGUUUUCCGCCGUUUGAAUGCGCCCUUUUGCCCGUGUUCCAGUCGCCGCCGGCGCAGACAGCGGCAGCGUAUCGAAAGGGAUAAAAGAGAGAGAGAGAUAAAAAAUCUGGAAGCACCGAGGCACGGCGUGAGCCUACGCGCUGGGUCGCUCUUGACCUAAAAGGGGAGCGCCACGCCGGCGACGCGAAACAAAAGGAGACCAUCCGCGUAUGCGCAGGCACAC